GACCGCGUAGCUCAGUUGGAAGAGCAUUGGGCUAGUACUCCAAAGGUCGUAGGUUCGAAUCCCACCGUGGCCG
Paramuricea clavata is the source of this 73-nucleotide non-coding RNA. The record is from the annotation of a GenBank genome assembly. Lineage: Eukaryota; Metazoa; Cnidaria; Anthozoa; Malacalcyonacea; Plexauridae.